ACCCGACCGGAUGAGCAAACUGUUCUAGACUAGUUUGUUCGCCCCGGAUCGUGUCG
This 56-nucleotide microRNA precursor is filed under the name Heliconius melpomene (postman butterfly). RNAcentral describes it as "Hme-Mir-375_pre stem-loop". The record is from RNAcentral. Lineage: Eukaryota; Metazoa; Arthropoda; Insecta; Lepidoptera; Nymphalidae.